RNAcentral lists this ribosomal RNA (253 nucleotides) under uncultured bacterium. RNAcentral describes it as "partial 16S ribosomal RNA". It matches the Rfam family "Bacterial small subunit ribosomal RNA", at positions 524 to 776 of the family's 1533-position model. The record is from RNAcentral.
UACGAAGGGGGCUAGCGUUGCUCGGAAUUACUGGGCGUAAAGGGAGCGUAGGCGGAUGUUUAAGUCGGGGGUGAAAGCCCGGGGCUCAACCCCGGAACUGCCUUCGAUACUGGGCAUCUAGAGUACGGGAGAGGUGUGUGGAACUCCGAGUGUAGAGGUGAAAUUCGUAGAUAUUCGGAAGAACACCAGUGGCGAAGGCGACACACUGGCCCGUUACUGACGCUGAGGCUCGAAAGCGUGGGGAGCAAACAGG